AAAGGGAGACCUAAUUCAGGUAUGGGAUGAAAAAAAAGUAGUCCCAACCAAGAAUCAAUCCCAAAAGGUCGGAGCGAGGCAAAAUUGGCUUUCAAACUAGGUUCUGGGUUCACACAAGACCUGAACAGGAACAAGGGCUAUUAGCUCAGGUGGUUAGAGCGCACCCCUGAUAAGGGUGAGGUCCCUGGUUCGAGUCCAGGAUGGCCCACCUGCACAGGUGGCCAAAACAAAGAAAAAAAGCUCCGAAUCAGCACCUUAUCUUACUUAUAUAGUAAGAGAGAAUGCUGGCUCUGAGUACAGAGUCCAGAGGAACCUUGAAAACUGCAUAGAGCUAGGUGAAAAAGCCAAAAAAGAAGACCGCAAG
RNAcentral lists this transfer RNA (364 nucleotides) under uncultured Microcystis sp. RNAcentral's name for it is "partial 16S-23S ribosomal RNA intergenic spacer". The stretch from base 135 to 208 matches the Rfam family "tRNA". Lineage: Bacteria; Bacillati; Cyanobacteriota; Cyanophyceae; Chroococcales; Microcystaceae. The record is from RNAcentral.